RNAcentral lists this ribosomal RNA (301 nucleotides) under uncultured bacterium. Its description in RNAcentral is "partial 16S ribosomal RNA". It matches the Rfam family "Bacterial small subunit ribosomal RNA", at positions 509 to 807 of the family's 1533-position model. The record is from RNAcentral.
CAGCCGCCGCGGGAAUACGAAGGGUGCAAGCGUUAAUCGGAAUUACUGGGCGUAAAGCGUGCGCAGGCGGUUUGUUAAGACAGAUGUGAAAUCCCCGGGCUCAACCUGGGAACUGCAUUUGUGACUGGCAGGCUAGAGUAUGGCAGAGGGGGGUGGAAUUCCGCGUGUAGCAGUGAAAUGCGUAGAUAUGCGGAGGAACACCGAUGGCGAAGGCAGCCCCCUGGGCCAAUACUGACGCUCAUGCACGAAAGCGUGGGGAGCAAACAGGAUUAGAUACCCCCGUAGUCCCUGUCUCUUAUAC